AAAUCAUUAACUCUUUUUUUUAAUCUUCUUACAAAUUAUAAUAACAAGUGAUAAAUGUUUAAAUACAGCGGAAUAUGAGAUUAAGCGGAAGACUUAAACAAAUAUAAAACCCAAAAUAAUACGAAAAUCCACAUAUACCUCUACCUAGAAACUGGUGUGACAACAUCCACGGACUACUAAGAUCACUACACACAACUGUUUGAAAGAAAGAAAACACUGUCUGUCUCGGAUACAAGAUAUAACAGAACAUAAUAAAAGAUAGAGGAGACGUCGGGCCUGUGGACGCCUGCAAGGCUACCUCAGUGUCUCGGUGGACUGAAGGCUGGCUCCCCUAAUGCUGCUGACCAAGCGCUGCUUCUGUAUCUACACAUAAGUGCAGAGUGUAGCAUCAACACAACCGACUCCAUGUGCUGGUAAGUAUCUGGCCUAAACCCGGAGAGGUAGUGACGAGGCUAGGAUCAGACUCCAGAUAAACCUGUGCAGUUAUAUAAUAUACAAAGGAGACAUAAACAGGAAAUAACAGUUUAAAACGGAGGGGGAAACAUAUCAAUUCUAUCAGAAACAUAAUAAAGUAUGAAAGAACACUCGAGGUCUAUAACAAUACUGUUUCCGUGUGCAACCCGAUCCCUUAUAUUUAACAUUGUUGCGGUGUGCAACCCGAUCCACAUAUAUAACUGUUACGGUGUGCAACCCGAUCCAAUAUAAUAUCUGUUUCGGCGUGCAACCCGAUCUAAUAUAAUAUCUGUUGCGACGUGCAACCCGAUCUAAUAUAAUAUCUGUUGCGGCAUGCAACUCGAUCCAUAUAUAUAUAAUAAUGUUGCGGUGUGCAACCCGUUCCACAUAUAUAUAGUCAACUAUAAUCAUAAUCAACCAUCCCGGCAAGGGAUCAACAAUAAACUACACUAUCCCGGCAAGGGAACUCAACAGUACAAGUAUAUACGUCCCGGUAAGGGAGAAUCAGCUAUAACCAAUCUUAACUCAACUCCUACUUGUCACACCUUCUUUUUCCUACACCGCAAGGAGUAUAAGAGAGUUUUUUCCAAUUUAAGUGACAAUUGAAAUGAGAUUAUUUAUAUUAAAAUCAGAGUCGCCACUUGGGAUAAUUUAUGGUGUUCCAAGUCACCGGUUUAAAAUCCCGAAUCGAAGAAAGAUUGACUCUAUUGUACAGUCUGCGGACACUGAAAUCUAGGUAAGGAAUUAUGUUAACCCGAGAGAAGGUGUUAGGCAUUUCCGGAUUCCGUGGUUUUAGCACGGUCGCUCAACUGUUAUAAUUGGCUUAAUUACCUGAUUCUAAUACAUGUUUUAGCCUAUGGUACAAUUUUUACUUUAGAACCGCUUUUGAUUAAUUAUUUUUUAAGAAAGAUUCAACGUCAUCUAAAACACGUCUUGAACCACGUCACAUAAAUGCACCCGCGGUCCCCGACAUAUUUUAUCUAACAUUGUGAGAUUUGGAUUUGGGUCACAUAAAUGCACACCCGAAUUUAGGAAAAUAAUUUAAAUUACGUGCCUAAAGCAACUACGCAUUUUUAAAUUUGCGAGGGCCAUGGAAAUUCAACUAAAUGGCACGCCUCAAUUUUUAUUUAAGGAGAAGAUAUUCAACAAAGUGAACUAUGGAUAUUCAUAUUUAAAAACUAAUUUGAAACUAAGUAUCACAACUACGCCACGGGAACCGAACCCAUAGUUGUGAUGUUCUAAUUACAUGCCUAAAAGCAUUUUUCUACGAAUAUAACAGGUGGUAAAUCCAAAUCCUCGUUACUAUGUUCAGCCAAAAAACUAAAUACCUAAGCAACAGAAUUUAAUACUACUACACCUUUUCCUAUUCAUAAGUUUUCAUUUUACAUAAAUAAAGAUAGAGAUAGGAUAACAUUUAUAAGCUACAAUUUUUAAAAAAAAAACAGUAAGCAUCGUCGUUAAUGAAACAAAGCUAAUGAAAUACAGUUGUUUAUUUCCCUGUUUCAACAGGAUGGAAACAAAACUAAUGAAGUUAUUUGUUUACGUGAUCACCUACUCAUGAGGCGACGGAAAAGAAGAAGCAGCUACUAACAUCCAAAAUCAUCAAAAAUUAAUGACAAGAGCACAGACAGAACAUUUAGAAAUCAAAGCAAGAAAUGGACUAUAGAUUAACAGAUUCGGGUUUCCAUUGAAGCUUUUAAAAGAACGUACAUGGAUUUCCUGGCAGAGACCAAAUAAAGUUGCCGAAUUCCGAAACGGGGCUGUGAACUAUGAGCAGAACUAGCAAGCGGAACCUCAAACCAGCACUUCAAUGUCAGAAAGCACAAAACCGGGACAGAUCGUCGACCGGAAUCUCAGACGACCACGGAUUUCGAUGGGAACCUUAAACAAACAUCAGAAUAAACCACUGAAACUAGGUGUAGUCGCGAAAUAACACAAUGUCAAAAUCCGGCCAGCGAGAUAAGCCAUCUUUCGACCCUGGUUUUAUAAAAGACGAAGAUGGAAAUGGUCAUGGGUAGAGGAAAAACCGGCCGGAUCUAAAGAGUGAUAAGGCGAAGCAACCGCGGAGAGUUUCUGUCUAGAUCGGGAUCGGAUUCGGCGGGUUCUUCGAUGUCUCGCCGACGUUCAUGGCUGUCGUUCUCUGAAAGUGUGGAAGUCGUUUGGCUUUGUGAAAAGGGGUGGAGAAUAAGCAGUGACGGGCGAUGAUGGAAAUAUGGUGGAGCUGCUUAGGUCUCUUAGCUUUUUGGGGUUUAUAGGGUAGCUCUUCAUUGAAGAAUAAGAAUUAGGGGUCGUUUAGGGUGGGAGCGUUUGUUUUGUUGAGCUGCUGAAGGGUUGUUGUGUUGUUGUUGUUGGAAUUGGAGAUGAAGGUCGCCUACAGGUUGAUGAAGAAGAUGAAGGACAGGGAUGGGUCGUGUAUUUUUGUGUAUUGCGGCCCUUCAGAUCUUUCCUUCAAUUCGCUCCCUUUUGGAUUAAGAGUAGGUCUAUAUAGGUCUAAGGUAUAGGUUUAGAU
RNAcentral lists this long non-coding RNA (2962 nucleotides) under Nicotiana tabacum (common tobacco). Its description in RNAcentral is "long non-coding RNA (NTAB_LNC001641)". The record is from RNAcentral. Lineage: Eukaryota; Viridiplantae; Streptophyta; Magnoliopsida; Solanales; Solanaceae.